CCCUUAGAUGUUCUGGGCCGCACGCGCGCUACACUGAUGCAUUCAACGAGCCUAGCCUUGACCGAGAGGUCCGGGUAAUCUUUGAAACUGCAUCGUGAUGGGGCUAGAUUAUUGCAAUUAUUAAUCUUCAACGAGGAAUGCCUAGUAAGCGUGAUUCAUCAAAUCGCGUUGAUUACGUCCCUGCCCUUUGUACACACCGCCCGUCGCUCCUACCGAUUGAGUGUGUUGGUGAGGAGUUCGGAUUGGCUCUUAGUGGUGGUUCGCCACCACCUAGAGCUGAGAAGCUCUCCAAACCGCCCCACUUAGAGGAAGGAGAAGUCGUAACA
This 326-nucleotide ribosomal RNA is filed under the name uncultured eukaryote. RNAcentral's name for it is "partial 18S ribosomal RNA". It matches the Rfam family "Eukaryotic small subunit ribosomal RNA", at positions 1470 to 1796 of the family's 1831-position model. The record is from RNAcentral.